UCCACACAUCUUAAUGCACAUUUUUAUAUGCCUGCAUUGCUGAGAGUGCGGAUGGGAAACACAUUGUUGGUGUGCCCUUUCAACUUAACUUCUUUAUGGAACAACAAUGCGAAGCUUUUUGAAAAAAUCUAAUAUUGGUAGGUACGUGAAAGUUUCGUUUCCAUUUAUCCUCGAUUGGAUGGGAUCUAUUUACUUAGCAUUGUAAAAUUCAUUAAUAUCAAAUAAGGAAAUUGUGGAAAUAAAAUGCUUUUUGCAUUCAAAUGUGUUCAAUUUAAAAUUCUAUAUGAGAUAUUCGACAAAAUAACUAUUUUAGAUUAUAAACCUUAAAGGACUGUCGUUUUCCACUCCUGUUCCUACUAAAUUCUUAAUUAUGUAUGAAAAUGCACAAAAUAAAUAUUAC
Long non-coding RNA from Bactrocera neohumeralis, 400 nucleotides. RefSeq lists it as uncharacterized. The transcript has 3 exons. The record is from RefSeq and is a predicted model, not a curated record. NCBI's taxonomy places the organism in Eukaryota, Metazoa, Arthropoda, Insecta, Diptera, Tephritidae.